GCGUCUUCUCACUGUGAAAAUCAAUGAGAGAGCCACUAGAGGCUGGAUUAAUCCAUAGGUAAACAAAGCAGUUUCUCUGAAACUGCUAUGUUUACAGCAAAAAGAGUUAAACCUAGCUGGACCUGGCACCCAGACCACUUCAUUAAGCUGAAGUGGUCUGGGUGCCUAUAGUGGUCCUUUCAGAAUACCAAAUUAGAGAGCUAUCUACUAAACAGUCGAAAGAUCAAAAUUAAAAGCAAGCCCUUUUCUUAGUUUUGCUCUUUCACUGAUUUAGUGGAUAACUCCAUAAUUUGCUAUCAUUAUCAAAAC
Pelobates cultripes (western spadefoot toad) is the source of this 309-nucleotide non-coding RNA. Lineage: Eukaryota; Metazoa; Chordata; Amphibia; Anura; Pelobatidae. The record is from the annotation of a GenBank genome assembly.